ACGAACGCUGGCGGCGGGCCUAACACAUGCAAGUCGAACGCACUCGACCUUCGGGUCACAUGAGUGAGUGGCGAACGGGUGAGUAACACGUGAGGAACCUGCCCCGAAGACUGGAAUAACCCGAGGAAACUCGGGCUAAUACCGGAUAUCCCCACCAGGUCGCAUGGCCAGGUGAGGAAAUGCUCCGGCGCUUCGGGAGGGUCUCGCGACCUAUCAGCUAGUUGGUGAGGUAACGGCUCACCAAGGCAUCGACGGGUAGCUGGUCUGAGAGGACGAUCAGCCACACUGGGACUGAGACACGGCCCAGACUCCUACGGGAGGCAGCAGUGGGGAAUCUUGCGCAAUGGGCGAAAGCCUGACGCAGCCACGCCGCGUGAGGGAUGAAGGCUUUCGGGUUGUAAACCUCUUUCAGCAGGGACGAAAAUGACGGUACCUGCAGAAGAAGCGCCGGCCAACUACGUGCCAGCAGCCGCGGUAAUACGUAGGGUGCAAGCGUUGUCCGGAAUUAUUGGGCGUAAAGAGCUCGUAGGCGGUUUGUCGCGUCUGCUGUGAAAUUUCGAGGCUCAACCUCGAACUUGCAGUGGGUACGGGCAGGCUAGAGUGCAGUAGGGGAGAUGGGAAUUCCUGGUGUAGCGGUGGAAUGCGCAGAUAUCAGGAGGAACACCAAUGGCGAAGGCACAUCUCUGGGCUGUAACUGACGCUGAGGAGCGAAAGCGUGGGGAGCGAACAGGAUUAGAUACCCUGGUAGUCCACGCCGUAAACGGUGGGUGCUAGCUGUGGGCCACAUUCCACGUGGUCCGUGACGAAGUUAACACAUUAAGCACCCCGCCUGGGGAGUACGGCCGCAAGGCUAAAACUCAAAGGAAUUGACGGGGGCCCGCACAAGCGGCGGAGCAUGCGGAUUAAUUCGACGCAACGCGAAGAACCUUACCAAGGCUUGACAUAUACAGGAAAAGCGUAGAAAUACGCUCCCCGCAAGGUCUGUAUACAGGUGGUGCAUGGUUGUCGUCAGCUCGUGUCGUGAGAUGUUGGGUUAAGUCCCGCAACGAGCGCAACCCUCGUCCUAUGUUGCCAGCACGUAAUGGUGGGAACUCAUGGGAUACUGCCGGGGUCAACUCGGAGGAAGGUGGGGAUGACGUCAAAUCAUCAUGCCCCUUAUGUCUUGGGCUUCACGCAUGCUACAAUGGCCGGUACAGAGGGCUGCAAUACCGUAAGGUGGAGCGAAUCCCAAAAAGCCGGUCUCAGUUCGGAUUGAGGUCUGCAACUCGACCUCAUGAAGUCGGAGUCGCUAGUAAUCGUAGAUCAGCAACGCUACGGUGAAUACGUUCCCGGGCCUUGUACACACCGCCCGUCAA
Molecule: ribosomal RNA, 1355 nt
Filed under: uncultured marine bacterium
Lineage: Bacteria
Description: bacterial SSU rRNA
Rfam family: Bacterial small subunit ribosomal RNA
Source: RNAcentral